CGUGUUAAUACCGGAUACGACCACUUCGGACAUCCGACGGUGGUGGAAAGUUUUUCGGUCUGGGAUGGGCCCGCAGCCUAUCAGCUAGUUGGUGGGGUAAUGGCCUACCAAGGCGACGACGGGUAGCCGGCCUCAGAGGGCGACCGGCCACACUGGAACUGAGACACGGUCCAGACUCCUACGGGAGGCAGCAGUGGGGAAUAUUGCACAAUGGGCGAAAGCCUGAUGCAGCGACGCCGCGUGAGGGACGACGGCCUUCGGGUUGUAAACCUCUUUCAGCAGGGACGAAGCGAAAGUGACUGUACCUGCAGAAGAAGCACCGGCUAACUACGUG
Molecule: ribosomal RNA, 334 nt
Filed under: uncultured bacterium
Lineage: Bacteria
Description: bacterial SSU rRNA
Rfam family: Bacterial small subunit ribosomal RNA
Source: RNAcentral